GAUGAACGCUGGCGGCGUGCCUAAUACAUGCAAGUCGAGCGAACGGACGAGAAGCUUGCUUCUCUGAUGUUAGCGGCGGCCGGGUGAGUAACCCGUGGAUAACCUCCCUUUAAGACUGGGAUAACUUCGGGAAACCGGAGCUAUUACCGGAUAAUAUUUUGAACCCCAUGGUUCAAAAGUGAAAGAGGGCUUUCCUGUCCCUUAUAGAUGGUUCCGCGCGGCAUUAGCUAGUUGGUAAGGUAACGGCUUACCAAGGCAACGAUGCAUAGCCGACCUGAGAGGGUGAUCGGCCACACUGGAACUGAGACACGGUCCAGACUCCUACGGGAGGCAGCAGUAGGGAAUCUUCCGCAAUGGGCGAAAGCCUGACGGAGCAACGCCGCGUGAGUGAUGAAGGUCUUCGGAUCGUAAAACUCUGUUAUUAGGGAAGAACAUAUGUGUAAGUAACUGUGCACAUCUUGACGGUACCUAAUCAGAAAGCCACGGCUAACUACGUG
This 497-nucleotide ribosomal RNA is filed under the name uncultured bacterium. Its description in RNAcentral is "partial 16S ribosomal RNA". It matches the Rfam family "Bacterial small subunit ribosomal RNA", at positions 28 to 507 of the family's 1533-position model. The record is from RNAcentral.